GUCGUCUCCGUGCCUGUCUGUCCUGGGACGCCCAACACCGGAGCGCACUGCUCACGUGAGAGGUGGGGGUGGAGACCCCUCCCCACUUCCUCUUUCCCCACGCUGUCACCAUGCCCCCCAACUCUGGGGGGCUCCGGAGAGGCCCAAGAUGGGGGUUUCACUAGAGGGUCACUCCUACUGGUCCCACACAUGCCCGUCCACGACCCUCGGGGGCUCGUCCGAGGAAGGGAGCAGCGCAGAGACAAGGUGCAAAGGUGGCUUCUUGGAAAGGCAGGACCGCCCCAUCCGGGGUCUGCAGAUCGGGGAGGGUCCCACCGGGAUCCCUCGCUCCUCAAUGCACCGGCAAGGGCCCUGGCCCCAGCGCCAUCCAGUGGAGAACUGUCCCAGCCCCCUGUGGGACAGGCUCUAUCGCUCUGUGCUGCCUGGUGGGGCGCUCGGCAAGCACAUCGGGCGGCAGUGGGCACCGCCCUCCUCCAACAAGAUGGCGUGGUUUGCCGCAUGAAUCGUCCAGGGGUCCCCCCAAAAGUGGUCCCAACCCCGAGGGAACUGAGAGGAGGCUCUCCUGCCCUUGGCUGACUCCUCCCUGCCCUCCUCUCUUUCCCAGAAGGCCCUGGGGCCCAGCUGUGACCCCGGCACCCCUGGCCAGAUGUGGGCCUGCUCCAGGCCCCCCUGGGAUCGUCUCAAUCUGCUGCAUCAGCACUGCUCAGGCUUUGGCUGAGCAGGACCUGGAGAGCGGAGGGAGCACCCCGUAGGCCUUUCGGGGCUCCUGUAGAAUCAGGACAGCAGGCCUUGGGUUAGACCCAGUGAUGCCGGAUCCCCGAUUCUGUGCUCACUGCCUGGCCCUCCCCAGCAUUCCAUCUGAGCUGCCACUUCACAUAACACGGGCUGGUGAGAGCUGUGUUCCCGAUCCCUGGCUGGGGACACUCCCCGACCCCCCCGCCCCUCCGCCGCGUACCCUCGGCCACGGCCAUGGCCUACCCUCGGCCUCUAACCUCUAACCCAGUCCUUCUUGCCAAGUGUUGAUCUCCCCGUACGUCAAAGGAGGACGUUUACCCUGACACCUUCACACUCCCAGUAUCAGCCUGGGAUUUGGGGUGCACUGCGGGCCGGCCAGGCCGGAUAAAUAUGUGGUCUGGCUGUGGUCUGCCUUCCCACUGUGGGGCAUCUCAGGGGCUUUCCGAGGCUGGGGGUGGGAAGGUGCCAGCCCCCUGCUUCGGUCCUGCAGUCGUGACCCCAGAGCCAGCGUGGCCACUGCAGCUUGCCUCUCCCUUCUAGCUCUUUCCCACAGAACAUCCUGGCUUCAGGAAUUCUCAUCGUCCGGGCCAGAGUUCAUCGGAAGUUUCCCCAUCCACCCCCUCUCCCAGCCCCUGGAGGGAAGCAAGGAGAGAGAGGGUCAUGCAGCUGAGCUGGAUGAGAAGAAAGCUGGGCUGCACUGGCCAGCGAGCGGCUUGGGGCAGAACGACUGCGCAGGUUCUCCUGCCAGAGAGUUUGAGGAUAUGGCCGUGCUGGGCUCCAGGGGGGCUCCCUCCAUGCAAAAGCAACUCUCCGGUCUCAAUCAUGCCAAGUGCCACCUGCCACCUGCCACCUGCCACCAACAAGGUGGGGACAUGGUUCCUGGGCUGGGACGAGGUGUGGUGCCCAGGAUGAGAUCAAUGACCCUGUUUCUAGAUAAUCAAAGGACAGACCCCAGAAACGACCAUGUCAGCGGCCAAGAGUCACAGCUUGGGCUUCAGAGCAGGAAGAACUGGGUUUGAGUCCAACUCAAUUACUUACUGGCUGACCUUGGGGACUGACUACAGUGCACCUGAGCACAGGUGCCAGGAGGAAGGGAGAAGUUACCCACAGGUUCCCAUGCCCCCUUUGGUCAAAGUUUCAUCCUCCAGUGAAUGACCGUCCCAGAUUGCACAGAAGCUGAGUGGUCCUUCAGCACCUCAGGCCUGGCGGGAAGGAAGAACUUGGGGUGUUGGCCCCUGGCCAGGUUUGGCGGGGUGAACCUCCCCUCCCCGCCCAGGCCGGCCCUCCACAUGGGCCAGGGGCAUCUGAGAUGGGGCAUCAUCGGACGUGAAGCCCCAACCUGAGGUUGCUGGGUAAGCUGCGAUUCUCUAAGGAAAGCCCUUGUUUGGGGAGGGGACACACAACCCUGAAGCUUUCAGGGAGAAAGAAGCAUCACGUCUGCAACUUACCCUGGAAUGGCCGAGGAAGGAGCAAGGAGCCAGGCAGGAAGAGAAACAGUAACACAAACUGGCAACAAGUUGCCUUUGGGGGGUGUCCGGGUGAAGGUAUCUGGAAAUUGUUUGUAGUACUUUUGCAACUUUUCUGUCAGCCUGAAAUAAUUUCAAAAUAAAAA
Molecule: RNA transcript, 2347 nt
Organism: Zalophus californianus (California sea lion)
Lineage: Eukaryota; Metazoa; Chordata; Mammalia; Carnivora; Otariidae
Exons: 5
Source: RefSeq, a predicted model, not a curated record